CCCUUAGAUGUCCGGGGCCGCACGCGCGCUACAAUGGAUGAAUCAACGCGUCAUCCUGGCCCGAAAGGGUUGGGGAACCGCUGAACCUCAUCCGUGGUUGGGAUUGGGGUUUGUAAUUAUUCCCCAUGAACUAGGAAUUCCCAGUAAGCGCGAGUCAUAAGCUCGCGUUGAUUACGUCCCUGCCCUUUGUACACACCGCCCGUCGCUACUACCGAUUGGAUGGUUUAGCGAGAACUUUGGACCGGAGCUCGGGUGGUCAGCAAUGGCCGCCCGAGACAUACUGGGAAAUCGCUCCAGCUUGAUCAUCUAGAGGAAGUAAAAGUCGUAACA
Molecule: ribosomal RNA, 330 nt
Filed under: uncultured eukaryote
Lineage: Eukaryota
Description: partial 18S ribosomal RNA
Rfam family: Eukaryotic small subunit ribosomal RNA
Source: RNAcentral